RNAcentral lists this ribosomal RNA (264 nucleotides) under Bradyrhizobium sp. UPM939. Its description in RNAcentral is "partial 16S ribosomal RNA". It matches the Rfam family "Bacterial small subunit ribosomal RNA", at positions 46 to 334 of the family's 1533-position model. Lineage: Bacteria; Pseudomonadati; Pseudomonadota; Alphaproteobacteria; Hyphomicrobiales; Nitrobacteraceae. The record is from RNAcentral.
AGGCUUAACACAUGCAAGUCGAGCGGGCAUAGCAAUAUGUCAGCGGCAGACGGGUGAGUAACGCGUGGGAACGUACCUUUUGGUUCGGAACAACACAGGGAAACUUGUGCUAAUACCGGAUAAGCCCUUACGGGGAAAGAUUUAUCGCCGAAAGAUCGGCCCGCGUCUGAUUAGCUAGUUGGUGAGGUAAUGGCUCACCAAGGCGACGAUCAGUAGCUGGUCUGAGAGGAUGAUCAGCCACAUUGGGACUGAGACACGGCCCAA